Molecule: long non-coding RNA, 419 nt
Organism: Drosophila ananassae
Lineage: Eukaryota; Metazoa; Arthropoda; Insecta; Diptera; Drosophilidae
Exons: 2
Source: RefSeq, a predicted model, not a curated record
AAUAAAUGCAAUAAUGCAUUAAAUCAAAUCCAUAAAGAAACAAUUAUCUAUGGAUGAUGAAGAAUAUUUAUAUUACAAAUAAAUUAUUAUAAUAGUUUGUCAUUUAAACUCUUAAACUCAAACCAAAGCUACAAUGCAGUUGUUACUCGUCCUUACAAUAAUAAUCUUCCUUCAUGUAACUGAUGUGUUGUCGAUUAUAUCGUACGUAUGGGACGUGGCUGAAGCUAUAUUGGAAAUAAAGGCAGACAUAUUAAAUAGGACCGGUUACAAAAUAAAGAAUACAACAGGGAAACUCCAGACGUACGUGAAUCUUCUUGAGAUUGCUACAGGGUUCUUGUUUCCAAAUAAAACCCUACCUGAUCUAUCAAAAUUGUUAGAAUUGAAAUAAAUGAAAAUAAAAUUAUAGUUUUUAUAAGGAA